UACUUUUGCUCCUGCAACGGUUUCCUUAAUUGUUAAGGAAUGAAAAGGGAACCGGGUGAGAAUCCCGGACAUUACCCGAUGCUGUAAGCUUCAUAGAAAGCCUUUUGUAUCCUCAAUGCCACUGUUAUCAUGACGGGAAGGCCACAAAAGGUGAAGUAAGUCAGAAGACCUGCCAAUGCAAAAUUACUUAU
Molecule: non-coding RNA, 191 nt
Filed under: Bacteroidota bacterium
Lineage: Bacteria; Pseudomonadati; Bacteroidota
Source: RNAcentral